AGUGCUUGCACUUUGCUGACGACCGGCGCACGGGUGCGUAACGCGUAUGCAAUCUACCUCUUACUGAGGGAUAGCCCAUGGAAACGUGGAUUAAUACCUCAUGGUAUUUUAAAUUGGCAUCAAUUUAAGAUUAAAGGUUACGGUAAGAGAUGAGCAUGCGUCCUAUUAGCUAGAUGGUAAGGUAACGGCUUACCAUGGCAACGAUAGGUAGGGGUCCUGAGAGGGAGAUCCCCCACACUGGUACUGAGACACGGACCAGACUCCUACGGGAGGCAGCAGUGAGGAAUAUUGGACAAUGGGCGAGAGCCUGAUCCAGCCAUGCCGCGUGCAGGAAGACUGCCCUAUGGGUUGUAAACUGCUUUUGUAUAGGAAGAAACCUUUCCUCGUGAGGAAAAUUGACGGUACUAUACGAAUAAGGAUCGGCUAACUCCGUGCCAGCAGCCGCGGUAAUACGGAGGAUCCAAGCGUUAUCCGGAAUCAUUGGGUUUAAAGGGUCCGUAGGCGGGUUUAUAAGUCAGUGGUGAAAGUCUGCAGCUUAACUGUAGAACUGCCAUUGAUACUGUAGAUCUUGGAUCAUUAUGAAGUGGUUAGAAUGUGUAG
Molecule: ribosomal RNA, 600 nt
Filed under: uncultured Bacteroidota bacterium
Lineage: Bacteria; Pseudomonadati; Bacteroidota
Description: bacterial SSU rRNA
Rfam family: Bacterial small subunit ribosomal RNA
Source: RNAcentral